Molecule: ribosomal RNA, 516 nt
Filed under: Dolichoderus lutosus
Lineage: Eukaryota; Metazoa; Arthropoda; Insecta; Hymenoptera; Formicidae
Description: partial 28S ribosomal RNA
Rfam family: Eukaryotic large subunit ribosomal RNA
Source: RNAcentral
UACCGUGAGGGAAAGUUGAAAAGCACUUUGAAGAGAGAGUUCAAGAGUACGUGAAACCGUUUGGAGGUAAACAGGUGGAGCCUCGAAAGCCUAAGGCGGUGGCGGAUUCAGUUUCGGACCCUAGGCACCCUUUCGAGCUUGGCCUCGUCGAGAGGAGGCCCGCGAGGGGUUCUUGCCUGGGGCUUGGGGCGCACUUCCGCACCCCGUCCAUUGGGACACCACAGCGGGUUGGAUGGCUGUCGUGGGGACGGGACGAAAGGUGGCCGCCUUUGCCUUCGGGCAUCGGCGGUGUUACAGACUCCCGUAACCUGAGGAGCCGUCCGACCGUGGUGGAGGAAGUCCUCGCAGUCGCUCCCGCCCGAGGGUGCAUGACCCUUCCCGCACCGGGUUCACGCUGGCGCGUCGCCUCUGGGGGCGAACGACUCGUGUUUGCGGUCCCCGGGAAGGUGGGUAUGCUGGGAGCCUGAGGCUGGUGGUGAGUAGUUCGGUUCCUCCACCUGACCCGUCUUGAAACAC